UUGCUUGCUUGUGAUUGGAGGAGGCAUGAUGUCACGUGCUCCCAUAGACCAAUGAGGAGGUGGUCCGGAGGCUGGGUUCAGCUGUAGCCUCAGCGUGGGAAAAAGGUAGAAAAGUUAUCCGGGCAUGAUGACGCCUGUAGUACCAGCUACUUGGGAUCCUGAGAACGAGAAAAAUCUCCUGAACCAGGGAGUCGGAAGCUGCAGUGAGCCGAGAGCACGCCACUGCACUCCAGCCUGAGUGACAAGAGCGAGACUCUGUCUUAAAAAAUAAAACUGAGCUUUGGAAAUUCUU
Molecule: long non-coding RNA, 292 nt
Organism: Pan troglodytes (chimpanzee)
Lineage: Eukaryota; Metazoa; Chordata; Mammalia; Primates; Hominidae
Exons: 2
Source: RefSeq, a predicted model, not a curated record